AUGUACCACUCGUAGCACUGUGGUUCCUCCGCGCCGUCCGCACCCACCUGGCGACUGCGCCGUCGUUUUGUUAGCC
This 76-nucleotide small RNA is filed under the name Xanthomonas fragariae. Its description in RNAcentral is "sX9 sRNA". It matches the Rfam family "Xanthomonas sRNA sX9". The record is from RNAcentral. Lineage: Bacteria; Pseudomonadati; Pseudomonadota; Gammaproteobacteria; Lysobacterales; Lysobacteraceae.